AUCAAAUUUCUGAAUUUUCCUUCGACACUAACAUUUGUGUUUGUUUUAGUUGCGGCAUUCAUUCUCCCCACUCCUCACCAGCCUUCGACGGUGGGUAUAUAAGGAGGUUCGACACAUCAGUCCAGCUCAGUCAGCUGGGGGACUGCGAGCCAGAAGGUGCUCUACUCUCCCACUUCAGACCAGCUUUCGACGGAGGGUAUAUAAGGAGGCCAGAAGCAUCAGUCCAGCUCAGUCAGCUGCGGGACUGCGAGCUAGAAGGAGCUCUCCACUCCAGCCACCUUGACAUACUUGCGGCAUUCCUUCUCCCCACUCCUCACCAGCCUUCGACGGAGGGUAUAUAAGGAGGUUCGACACAUCAGUCUAGCUCAGUCGCCUGCGGAACUACGAGCAAGAAGGACCUCCUCCCUCUCCACUCCUGGUCAGCUUGCAGAAAAGCUAAGUAGAAUUAUCCAUCAUUUAUUGACUAUCACCCAUAUCCUUACUGGUGGUUCGAUAAUCCAACACAUUACCAAAUGCAACCGUCAAGCUGCUUGAGGCUUUUUUACGAGCUGUCGGUACGCUUUUCAUUUUGGCAAUGAGAUUCAGCCACCGGCAGGUUGUCACGCUCCGGCGUGGAUCUAAGAAUCCUGCAUAGGAGUUGUUCCUCGCUGAUAUGGGAGUGUACAGAGCAGCUCGAAAGAUUGCCUGCCACCUUGACGUUGCUUUGUUUUGAUUUACGUAUCGAUUUUUAGAGUUAAAGGCAUUUAAUUUCGUAGACAUUUGUUGGUUUAUUAUUCCAAAUUCUAUUAUAGUGAAUAAGAUCCCAGACAUACAUUUAAUGAACCUAUGACUUAUCCUUUGAUAUUAAUAUUUGUUUUAGGUGCGGCAUUCCUUCUCCUCACUCUCGACCAGCCUUCGAUGGAGGAGUAUAUAAGUCGGCUCGAUAGAAUGAGUCUUAUAUUAUUAGAUCGACAAAGCAAUGCUGCGCUAAUGCAUGAAGUAUUUUUUCACCAUGAUGAUUCGAAAUCGUCGCAAUGUAUCAGCAACAUCAGAAAAAGGCGCAAAAGUCAAAAUCUCAUAAUGGAAAUAAAGCAGAGGAAACAAUAGCCAUGCGAGCUAGCAGCAAGCUAGACAGACAGAGAUAAAGGCAAUGACGGGGCUCAGUCUACAAAGCGUACAGCCUGCCAAAGUGCCUGCUGUGGAUUCGGUCCACGUAUGCGUCGUCGAUUAUCUCUAGCGCAGCUCUCAUCGACUCGACCCCCUCUGGCAACAGCAGCAACAAACCGUCAUUAGUGUCGUCAAAUAUUCCACGACCGUGCAGCAACCGCCCUACGCCGCUGUUGCUAUUGCAGCUGCAAGCUUUUUCAGCUGUUAGGCUGGAUUUCGUUUCGGAGAAGAGUGUCAUUAUGGCAUCAAGUGGUAGGGGCCUACUACUGAGCUCGGAUCCCUGCACGAGACAUCUUCGUCCGGAUUCCAUGCCGACGAGCAAUGGCCCCAUUCGCGCGUUUGUCCCAGCAGUUUAUACAAAGCCCGACAAUUUCCGUUGGAAACUCUCGACACGAAUACUUCUCGUCAGCUAGCAGUCGCUGCGAAUCAAUCAGCCGAACAACCGAGUCUGUCCGCGCGGACACACCGCAUCGCAGCCGCACCUCAACAGGUCCACCGCCAACGACGAGCUAUACAACUCUGCGAACGACCGCGAGAACAACUUUCGACCAGUCAGGCAUUCUUGAAUUCAUGCGCGAUGAUCAUCGGCGUUUCAGCAUCGGUUAUCAGGCUCUAAAAUACGCACGACCGUCCCCGGUUUACGCGUCGUCGAUAACAAUCGACCGCUCCUCGUUAUAUGUAUAUAUAGAUCGAGAUAACAGCGCGGCGGAGGAAUAUUUUCCAGCGAUCGUUCGCAAACAUCAGCGCAUCAUUAGCGUGUGUGCCUACAUCAAGUAUCCGAUCGCUCGCUGGCAAAAAGCGCAGCUGCUGCAGCUUGCUGAAAAAACACGCGGCUCUAUCUCCCCCGUCGAGUCUGGAAAAACAGCGGAAUUAGCAGAAAAUGAAGCAGCGCGUGUGUACACUUAAUAUUUCGCGGGGGCAUUUUCAUGCUCGAUAGCAGCAGCAGCUGUAUAUUUCGCGCGAAAAUAAAUUGGGGAGAGACUCGCCGGGUGCGUAUGUUUGCCCGUCCAAUUAAUCGCUCGGCGGCGCAGUAGGAUCGCCUCUGCGUGCCCCCCCCCCCCUAUACACUCGAAAAAGCGUACACGCGUACACGGCUGUGACAAACACACGGCGGGAGAGAAAGCUCUUUGAUCGCGCGGGCGAAUUGGCCUUUUCGCUUUAUGUAUGUAUAUCUUUGUGUUUUAAUUAAUUAAUGCGUAUUACGCGCGACUGUUUUAUUAAAUAUGCGCUGCACACACACACACACAAAAGCGCAUAUGCAAUAUGUAGUCACCAAUGUAUGUGACAAAGCCAGGCGACACAGCGCACACGCAGCUGGCUUUUGAUCGAAUUAUUUAAUUCUUUAUUUCUCCGCUAAUUGAAUAUUGACCGCGCAUUUGUUUCCCGAUGAAAUUCCCGAUGUAUUAUAACAAUGCACGAGCUCGUUCGCUAUAAUACAAUUUAUAUACGUAUAUGCCGCGCCGCAUUAACUCGACGCGCGCGAUUUACAGCCGUUUAUUCAGAACUGCGCGAAAUACGACGACGAAUAUGUCUAUAAGUAGCAGCGAACUUGGAUGUGAUACGGUGGAAUCAAUUCCCGCGUGUGAUAUAGCCGGCAACGAACUAUACUUUAAUUACCGGGUCAUAUUCGACGGAAUUUUAGUAGUUCGUUAAAUCCGGCAGUUAAAUUUUAUAGGCACUCGCGCGCGCGAGUAUUACAGGUCAAUCGU
This 2855-nucleotide long non-coding RNA is filed under the name Nasonia vitripennis (jewel wasp). Its description in RNAcentral is "uncharacterized LOC116416906". Lineage: Eukaryota; Metazoa; Arthropoda; Insecta; Hymenoptera; Pteromalidae. The record is from RNAcentral.